This 773-nucleotide ribosomal RNA is filed under the name Gryporhynchidae sp. G025cest_1. Its description in RNAcentral is "SSU rRNA". It matches the Rfam family "Eukaryotic small subunit ribosomal RNA", at positions 1010 to 1655 of the family's 1831-position model. The record is from RNAcentral. Lineage: Eukaryota; Metazoa; Platyhelminthes; Cestoda; Cyclophyllidea; Gryporhynchidae.
AGAUACCGUCCUAGUUCUGACCAUAAACGAUGCCAACUGACGAUCCGUGGUGGUAGUUCUCUAACCUUCCCCACGGGCAGUCCCCGGGAAACCUUUAAGUCUAUGGGUUCCGGGGGAAGUAUGGUUGCAAAGCUGAAACUUAAAGGAAUUGACGGAAGGGCACCACCAGGAAUGGAGCCUGCGGCUUAAUUUGACUCAACACGGGAAAACUCACCCGGGCCGGACACUAUGAGGAUUGACAGAUUGAUAGCUCUUUCUUGAUUUGGUGGUUGGUGGUGCAUGGCCGUUCUUAGUUGGUGGAGCGAUUUGUCUGGUUAAUUCCGAUAACGAACGAGACUCCAGCCUGCUAAUUAGUGCAUUUGUCCACUGUACCUGUGUGGGCGGCAUUGGAUAUGAGUGCUGAUGGUAGUGUUUACGGGCCUGUGUGCACGCGCGCCUCGUGUGUCGCGUGGAGGGGUUUUGCGAAUGCGUAAAACCAUUCGGCGGUCAGUCUGGUGUUAGCCCCCGGGUGCGGCGCGAAUGCUUACUUCUUAGAGGGACAAAUGGGAGAAGCCAUACGAAAUAGAGCAAUAACAGGUCUGUGAUGCCCUUAGAUGUUCGGGGCCGCACGCGCGCUACAAUGGCGGUGUCAACGAGUCAGACCUUCUGGCCCGAAAGGGUUGGGUAAACUGGUCAAUCACCGUCAUGACAGGGAUCGGGGCUUGGAAUUAUUCCCCGUGAACGAGGAAUUCCUAGUAAGUGCAAGUCAUAAGCUUGCGCUGAUUACGUCCCUG